RNAcentral lists this long non-coding RNA (506 nucleotides) under Homo sapiens (human). Its description in RNAcentral is "HSALNT0286482". The record is from RNAcentral. Lineage: Eukaryota; Metazoa; Chordata; Mammalia; Primates; Hominidae.
CGGUAGAAAUCUUCAAUGGUGGGGUCAUAUUUCUCAAUGAAAGUCCCAGUGACAAACUGCACAACUGAUGAGCUUCUCUGUGCAAGGGUGCCUUUUUGGAGCAAUGUCCCCAUUCGGUCCAUUGAUAUGAACCACUUCAUUGAAUGUCUUAGACGGGAAAGAAGACUGAAUAAUGAUUGGAAGAACGCCGGAGUCAUCAAGCUCUUUUGAUAACUGCAUAUGUGAACUAGGUCAAGUCACUCUCCCUCAACGGAUCACCAGUUUACCCAACUGUAAAUGGCAACAAUUUUGAACUGAACGUUCUUCCUUCUACAGCCAAAAUUCUUCGUUUGCUAGGUUUGUGAAGUGCUUUUAUAUGUAUGAGCGCUUUCUUAACUAUGAAGAUAUCUGAGUCAUCGAACUUUUGGUGGGGGCAAUCUCAUGAUCAGUCAUGACUAGAUUUUAGAGUUUUCUCAUCCCCAUACUCAAAGUUUUUUUUUUAAGAAUAAAAAUGAAAAGAAACAAUA